This 253-nucleotide ribosomal RNA is filed under the name uncultured bacterium. Its description in RNAcentral is "partial 16S ribosomal RNA". It matches the Rfam family "Bacterial small subunit ribosomal RNA", at positions 524 to 776 of the family's 1533-position model. The record is from RNAcentral.
UACGUAGGGCGCAAGCGUUAUCCGGAAUUAUUGGGCGUAAAGAGCUCGUAGGCGGUUUGUCGCGUCUGCCGUGAAAGUCCGGGGCUCAACUCCGGAUCUGCGGUGGGUACGGGCAGACUAGAGUGAUGUAGGGGAGACUGGAAUUCCUGGUGUAGCGGUGAAAUGCGCAGAUAUCAGGAGGAACACCGAUGGCGAAGGCAGGUCUCUGGGCCGAUACUGACGCUGAGGAGCGAAAGCGUGGGGAGCAAACAGG